Long non-coding RNA from Macrobrachium nipponense, 756 nucleotides. RefSeq lists it as uncharacterized. The transcript is spliced from 3 exons. NCBI's taxonomy places the organism in Eukaryota, Metazoa, Arthropoda, Malacostraca, Decapoda, Palaemonidae. The record is from RefSeq and is a predicted model, not a curated record.
AAUUUGACGGAAAUCCUUUUCUUCUUUCAGGAUGGGGAAGGCGUCACUUUUAGCGGGAAGCGAGUGUUACUGGAGUACAAAUUGUUGUCAGAAAGGUAUAGAAACUACACCAGAGAUUCUCUCAGCCACGUGAGGGUCAUAUUGGAAUUCCAGAAUCUGUAUGGAUACUACAUAGGAAACACCUUCUUGCCUACGAUAAUGCUUGUCACGAUCGGCUAUACCUGCUUCCUCUUCGACCUCGCUGACUUUGAGGACCGAAUCAUGGUGUCCCUGACGUUGCUCCUUGUGUUGGCCACCUUCUUCUCCCAAGUCAGCCUCUCGAUUCCAAGGACAGCCUACUUGAAACUGAUCGAUGUUUGGUUCCUUGCACUUAUAACAGACCUCUUCGCCGUGAUCAUGUCCUUGGUCGUUGUCGAAGUCAUCCGUUUGAAGUCCUUGAACUCCUCCACCGUCAUAAAAGUGAUUCCUAUAAUGAAAGCGGCUAACGAUAAGCCGUCCAAAUUCGUGUCGUUCACUUCCUACUGGUUCUCUGAGCCGAAUAAGCUGAACAUGGUGUUCUUUUACUUUUAUCCGAUGACACUCAUCGUGCUCCUGGCCGUUUUCGUCUCUGUUGGCGGUAAAAGUUUGUUCGCUAACAUUCCGGAAGAGUUCCGGUGAACUCGGCGAAGUCCGCCACUUUUUCACCUGAGCGUCGUAAUGUCAAGAAUAGGUAAAACUGAAGAUGACUACUACCGUGGUCCGGUAACUCAGUUUACG